AGAAUUUGGUUCAAACGGCCGCGGGAAUCCUACCGGUAGAAGGGUAGAGGAAUCACUUGUUCUUUAAAUAAGGAGUAGUAUGAAUGGCAUCACGAAGGCGGAGCUGUCUCCUUUUUGUAAUCAGUGAAACUAAUCUCCCGUGAAGAAGCGGAAAUUAACUUAUAAGACGAGAAGACCCUAUGGAGCUUUAAACCAAAUAGCAUAUGCUAUUUUACAACAUUCAGAUAUGGAAUCUUUAUAGCACUAUGAUUACAAAUUUUAGGUUGGGGUGACAGCGGAGUAAAAAUUAACCUCCGCAUUGAAGGAAUUUCUAAGCAAAAAGCUACAGCUUUAAGCAUCAACAAAUUGACACUUAGUGACGCAGUAUUUUGAUCAAAGAACCAAUUCACCCUCGGAUACCAGCGCAGUCCAUAAUGAGAGCUAUGAUGGGCUAGUAAGCUAAAAACCUCGAUGUUGGAUCAGGG
This 464-nucleotide ribosomal RNA is filed under the name Megaelosia goeldii (Rio big-tooth frog). Its description in RNAcentral is "partial 16S ribosomal RNA". It matches the Rfam family "Bacterial large subunit ribosomal RNA", at positions 1913 to 2542 of the family's 2925-position model. Lineage: Eukaryota; Metazoa; Chordata; Amphibia; Anura; Hylodidae. The record is from RNAcentral.